This 253-nucleotide ribosomal RNA is filed under the name uncultured bacterium. RNAcentral describes it as "partial 16S ribosomal RNA". It matches the Rfam family "Bacterial small subunit ribosomal RNA", at positions 524 to 776 of the family's 1533-position model. The record is from RNAcentral.
UACGUAGGUGGCAAGCGUUAUCCGGAUUUACUGGGUGUAAAGGGCGUGUAGGCGGGACUGCAAGUCAGAUGUGAAAUUCCAGGGCUCAACCCUGGACCUGCAUUUGAAACUGUAGUUCUUGAGUGGUGGAGAGGCAGGCGGAAUUCCGUGUGUAGCGGUGAAAUGCGUAGAUAUACGGAGGAACACCAGUGGCGAAGGCGGCCUGCUGGACAUUAACUGACGCUGAGGCGCGAAAGCGUGGGGAGCAAACAGG